RNAcentral lists this ribosomal RNA (318 nucleotides) under Pseudomonas synxantha. RNAcentral's name for it is "bacterial SSU rRNA". It matches the Rfam family "Bacterial small subunit ribosomal RNA", at positions 406 to 716 of the family's 1533-position model. The record is from RNAcentral. Lineage: Bacteria; Pseudomonadati; Pseudomonadota; Gammaproteobacteria; Pseudomonadales; Pseudomonadaceae.
UGAAGAAGGUCUUCGGAUUGUAAAGCACUUUAAGUUGGGAGGAAGGGUUGUAGAUUAAUACUCUGCAAUUUUGACGUUACCGACAGAAUAAGCACCGGCUAACUCUGUGCCAGCAGCCGCGGUAAUACAGAGGGUGCAAGCGUUAAUCGGAAUUACUGGGCGUAAAGCGCGCGUAGGUGGUUUGUUAAGUUGGAUGUGAAAUCCCCGGGCUCAACCUGGGAACUGCAUUCAAAACUGACUGACUAGAGUAUGGUAGAGGGUGGUGGAAUUUCCUGUGUAGCGGUGAAAUGCGUAGAUAUAGGAAGGAACACCAGUGGC